GAAAGCAUUUGCCAAGCGCGUCUUCAUUAAUCAAGAACGAAAGUCAGAGGUUCGAAGGCGAUCAGAUACCGCCCUAGUUCUGACCGUAAACGAUGCCAACUAGCGAUCCGCCGGUGGCCACUAGGCCCUGGUGGGGAGCUUCCCGGAAACGAAAGUCUUCCGGUUCCGGGGGAAGUAUGGUUGCAAAGCUGAAACUUAAAGGAAUUGACGGAAGGGCACCACCAGGAGUGGAGCCUGCGGCUUAAUUUGACUCAACACGGGAAAACUCACCCGGCCCGGACACCGUAAGGAUUGACAGAUUGAUAGCUUUUUCAUGAUUCGGUGGUUGGUGGUGCAUGGCCGUUCUUAGUUCGUGGAUCGAUUUGUCUGGUUUAUUCCGAUAACGAGCGAGACUCCAGCCUACUAACUAGUGCGAGCAUUGCUACUGUGCUUUUGCACUUCUUAGAGGGAUUGGCUGCGUCUAGCGGCACGAAACGGAGCAAUAACAGGUCUGUGAUGCCCUUAGAUGUCCGGGGCUGCACGCGCGCUACACUGGCAAAGGCAGCGUGCUUGUCCGUCUCCGAAAGGAGUCGGUAAACCCUUGAAAAUUUGCCGUGAUUGGGAUCGGAAAUUGCAAUUAUUUUCCGUGAACGAGGAAUUCCUAGUAAGUGCGAGUCAUCAGCUCGCGUUGAUUACGUCCCUGCCCUUUGUACACACCGCCCGUCGCUGCCUAGAACUGAGCCAUUUCGAGAAUAUUCGGGAUCGCUGGUUGCACGCCUCUCGGGGCGCGCCUCCGGCCGGAGAACGAACGUAAUCGCAGUGGCUUGAACCGGGCAAAAGUCGUAACAA
This 828-nucleotide ribosomal RNA is filed under the name Nothocriconemoides hangzhouensis. RNAcentral describes it as "SSU rRNA". It matches the Rfam family "Eukaryotic small subunit ribosomal RNA", at positions 947 to 1797 of the family's 1831-position model. Lineage: Eukaryota; Metazoa; Nematoda; Chromadorea; Rhabditida; Criconematidae. The record is from RNAcentral.